ACUGUUCAUUCUCUGUGCCUAUUAGAGCUCUUUAUUUUGACUCCUCCCACAAUCUGCUUUCUGAUUGGCAGAUACCCACAUUGUGAACUUUGGCCUGAGUCUGCAGACGCUGUUAUAUCAAUAUAAUGAAGGAAAAAAAUCCCUCUAUCCGAGAGACGCAGGGUUUUUUUCCCCAUAGGUGAGUUCAAGACCACGAUCUGUGAGCGAUUCAGCAGUCGGGACCCGCAAACACACGUGAUCUCAUACAGGCACUGUCCUGGGAGGUGUCCACACGUCAUCUCAUGUUCCCAGCAUGGAGAGGAGUACAUUCAAAUGACAUUGUAUUUAUUAAAUAUUGUUUUAACAUAAACUUGACUCCUCCUG
This 363-nucleotide long non-coding RNA is filed under the name Sinocyclocheilus anshuiensis. Its description in RNAcentral is "lncRNA (ENSSANG00000050405.1)". Lineage: Eukaryota; Metazoa; Chordata; Actinopteri; Cypriniformes; Cyprinidae. The record is from RNAcentral.